CUCCUUAUCGCUAUUAAAUGAAAAAUAUUAUAGGAUAUUUUCAAUUACUAUUUGAACAGUUGCUUUAUAAUUAAGAUUGAAACAUAUAAAGGUUGUUGAAAAUUACAUAGAGUAAUUAGGCAAAUUUUAUCAUACAGUCUCUUUGAAGGAAACAUAUCAGUAAGACAACUCUGACACGAAAAUACAUUUCAUUAUUAAACAUAAUUAUUGUCACAGUAAAUAAUAAUUGGGUUUAACUAAAUAUAAUGUAAAUGCUUUCAUAGACUACUACACUUCAUAGUACGUUACGUUGAAAUCUAAACCUUAUGGAUUUGCAGCGCCAAAAUCCUUUAGAUGAAAUGCCAUUGGCUGAUGUAAUCAUUAAAAUGUCCAAUAUGAAUGCAAUGUUAAUGGAUUUAUAACAACAUAAUCUAUUAUGAUAAUUCCUGGUGUCCCUAACUAAGUAAUUAUCCAUUGUGGAAUAGCAGGAAAUCAGAUAGUGGAUCAGGACCAAUACUCUUUCAAGCAUAAUUAAAUGGAGAUUGUAUUGCUAAUAGCUAAUACAAGACACCAAGAGAUAUAACGUUCACCAAUAAAUAUAAACAGUACCUAGCAAUGUUGCUAUGUCCAUUUCUAAAAUAGCUUACUGUAACGGACCGUUUUACACAUAAGAGGUUAAAAAACGUUUAGGCGAUAUUCCCCUUUCCAGAUGCACCGACAGCUACUGUAAGCACCCAUCUCCCGAACUGCAAACUACACAAAUUCACCAACUCCCCAACAGGAAACCCACGAAUACUGGAAACAGCCGAACAGGAAAAGCCUACCCUCAGUUUACACUCCUGGCAAUCGGCAUACAAUCCAAUUCCCCCAAUAACGAGACGACACUUCGUUUUGAGGGUCAAGCAUAAUCUGGUUUACUGGGGCUAACUGCCUGGCUUUUAUACAGGUCUCCAACCUGGUGGACACUCCCCUAGGGGACCAGAUGGGAGACUGGGACACAAAGGGUAAAAGGACCAAUCACAGACUUACACAUUUCAACAAUCCCACAAUGCAUCACAAUCCCUCCUCUCUGGCCUGGAGAUAAUUGGGAAGUAAUCCAAUUAUCUCCAAGGACAGAGGCAAAACUCCAUUACAUACAUUUUAGUAAAAAGACUUAAAAUUACACACGGUUACCUUUAUCACACAAAACACACACAUUCUACAUAUCCCCAGAUAGCUUAGAUCUGAGCGCACAUUACUACCGAAUGGCGCUCAGAUCACAUACAUACAGUUCAAUUGCCAUGGAGCCAAAGUCUUUCCCAAAGUCUUUCAUUACACGAAUAGGCUCCAUGGCAUGGCUAUCUGGCGUGAUGCUGUUCAUACGGUCAAACUAACGAAUGAACAGUGAUUCGGUUCCACUACCGAAUGCAGAGGUAGGGAGGCUGGCGGCUCAGCGGUGUUUUCACAAAUAAGUGUCCAUUUUCAGUUCCAGUUUGGGCGCUGAACACCGCUGGCCGUUCGGGAGUAAAAAUGGCCGCUGCCACGUGUUCGGCAGACGAACAAAGGCCAAUUCAAUCGACGGCACAUUCCAGUUCCCAGGUGGCCGAUUGUUCGGUACUUUGUUCGGUAGAUUGGAUCUACAGAACACCCCAGCAGAAAGGCAUGAAUAUGCUUUUCUGCAUGGAAAAUAAAAGGUUUUUAAAUGCCGGGCCAUAGUCUAAAGGGAGCAGGCGAGCAACCAGGCUCCUCCAGUGGACAGUGGCGAGGCUGGUUUCACCACACUUACAGUGAUAUUACAGCACACAAGACAGUGGAAAGGCAUAUCAAGUUGUAUGGAUGGUGGACUUGCAAAUAUUGUCUAAAAUAAAAUGCUACAUGUGAACAAAUGAUACCAUACUUUAAAUUCAUGAAUGAGGAUCAUACUGUCUUCCAGUAUCUAUUUAGCCAGCAACCAAAUGCAAAUGGGCCAACAUUUUCCUAAUAGCAGAAAUAAUAAUAUUGAGCAUGCAUUUUAACCCCUUUAGAACUAAAAUUAGACGGGUCUCUUGUUAUCAUGACAGUCCUAUAACAGUAUACCACUGAUCAUUUUUGUGAUCCCUGCAGUGUGAGGUACAGUUUUUUUCUUUAAUUUUUUCCACCAGCAAAAGAUGAAUUUCAAUUCUGUUCCAAAAAAAACCAAAACAGCCAUAAUCCAUAUCACUUACAAAGACCCUCUACCUAAUGCAAGAGGAGUUUAUGUUAUAAAAACCAAAUGUGACUUUCAUUAAACAAAGCUAGUCUUCUAAUUUCCCCCACCAAACGUUAUAACAUUAGGAGUUUUACCAUUUAGGGCAGUGCUAUAAUUAAAUGGACUCUGUUAAACGUACCACAAGUUCUGUAUAUUAUAGUUAUUUUUGCUGUACAUUGUGCUAGCAGAAUGGUAUUUAUAAAUAAUGAUGAGAAUUAGUAAUGCAUUUCUCAUUUUUAUAGUUUGUCCAUUUCUAGCACUGGCUACACUUCCACACACAGCAUCCUACAAUGUGUUACUGCUUUGUCAUUUUGAUGUUGCAAGUAGAUAAAUAGUUUUGCAAUUUAUUUUAUUUAACUCUCUGAUGUAAUUGCUGGUAAACAUAUGUUAUAACGUAUUUAAAUGGUUACUCUAAUUGGUUACUAUGAUGCGAGGAGUACUCUGGUAAGGGUCAUAACAUAUUGACAAGCAUCUGCCUUUUGUAGAAUUAUCGGUACCAGAUGCUGAUCCAUCACUCAUUCACUGGCUAAAAAUAUCAGAUCUUUGCUCUCAGCUAAUUAAUGAACGUUGGUGCAAUGAAAUAUGCACAGGAUUGACAUUAGCCAGCCCAUAAGUCUUCUUCUUGGCUGGCUAAUAAUGUACUAAUGAUGCUGCUAGAGGUGGCAUUACAAUUACAGUAGCCAUGUAAAAU
Non-coding RNA from Pelobates cultripes (western spadefoot toad), 2876 nucleotides. The record is from the annotation of a GenBank genome assembly. Lineage: Eukaryota; Metazoa; Chordata; Amphibia; Anura; Pelobatidae.